UUGACUGAGGUUUCGGCCAAUGAUAGGAAUGCUUAGUGGCGGACUGGUGAGUAACGCGUGAGGAACCUGCCUUCCAGAGGGGGACAACAGUUGGAAACGACUGCUAAUACCGCAUGACGCAUGACCGGGGCAUCCCGGGCAUGUCAAAGAUUUUAUCGCUGGAAGAUGGCCUCGCGUCUGAUUAGCUAGAUGGUGGGGUAACGGCCCACCAUGGCGACGAUCAGUAGCCGGACUGAGAGGUUGACCGGCCACAUUGGGACUGAGAUACGGCCCAGACUCCUACGGGAGGCAGCAGUGGGGAAUAUUGGGCAAUGGACGCAAGUCUGACCCAGCAACGCCGCGUGAAGGAAGAAGGCUUUCGGGUUGUAAACUUCUUUUGUCAGGGAAGAGUAGAAGACGGUACCUGACGAAUAAGCCACGGCUAACUACGUGCCAGCAGCCGCGGUAAUACGUAGGUGGCAAGCGUUGUCCGGAUUUACUGGGUGUAAAGGGCGUGCAGCCGGGCCGGCAAGUCAGAUGUGAAAUCUGGAGGCUUAACCUCCAAACUGCAUUUGAAACUGUAGGUCUUGAGUACCGGAGAGGUUAUCGGAAUUCCUUGUGUAGCGGUGAAAUGCGUAGAUAUAAGGAAGAACACCAGUGGCG
RNAcentral lists this ribosomal RNA (642 nucleotides) under uncultured bacterium. RNAcentral describes it as "bacterial SSU rRNA". It matches the Rfam family "Bacterial small subunit ribosomal RNA", at positions 63 to 717 of the family's 1533-position model. The record is from RNAcentral.